UGUAUGUGUCACACAUACCUACUGCACUGUACCUUGCCAUUACUGAUUUUGUUUUGCAUUAGCACAGUAUACAUGAUCCCAAUUCGGUGGCAACUUAAAAAGUAGAUUGUGCUGAUUUACUGGCACAUUGAACCAUGUUGCGUGCUGUAGUUUGUGGAUAGUGGUAAAAACAACGAUUUCAGAUCUGAAUUCCUCCAUCUUUAUGCACCUUUGCCAUUUUCCUGUUUGACUUUCCAUAAUGGGCAGAACAAUUUAAAGACGUUGCUGUAGUUCUUUUCAUGCUGCUGGAAUUGCAAUCCGUGUUGAAAGAUCUGCAGCUUCCUGAAAAAUGGCAACUGGAUUUCACAGAGUUUCCUUACUACUUGCAGUGUUUGUGGGUGUACAUGGUGUUGUGCCUUCAAUGGGUUGCAUGUUGGGAUAGAUACCUUGUGGUGUCUGCACUCUUGGCAUUUACUGGUAUUGAACCUAAGUCUCACUUAUUGACUUGACCUUGGAACAGAACAUGCACAAUGACUUUGAGGUCAGUCUCCACUAUGAACACAUUUAUGGACAAUGGCGGUGUAGAAACCAGACUCCCCCUUCACGCCCAUUCUGUGCCACCCCCUCUUCACCAUUAACCAAAACGGUCAUUGCGAAGCGUGUGUUUACCAUGUACCUGGGGAACUUCCCCUACGAUGUUGGCCUGGUGGCUGUGAAGCCCAAGGGACACUACUUCACCAUACCAGAGGCUAUUCAAAAUGUCUACCCAGUCACUAGGGGUUGCCAUGCCAACUGAACCGAUGUGGCUGUCAUCCAGGUUCCUUUCGAAGACCCCCAUUGUUCCAUGAAUGUCCCUCCAGCCUUCAAAGGCAUCUGCACAGAGGGCAUCAGAGCUUCCAGCGGGGCAUCCAGCCAUUCAAAUACAUGUGGGAGGUUGGCGUCGGCCCUGACCGCAAUGCAGCGUAGGUACAUUAUGCUCUGCGAAAACCAGUGUGACCCUGGAUGUUUCUCUCCACGAUUGGAUACAUCUGAGAAGGACAACCAGUAUGAUGAAUGGGAUCAUGUUCUACAAGCAAUACUCACCCAAAGACGGGCCUGUCGUCAUCCAGACAACUUAUAGUUUAGCUUUGCCAGUACCCACAAGGAAGACUCCAGUUGUGAUGACGCCAACUACCACUACAAAAUAUCCUGUAACAACCUGCAAGCCUGAAAUUCAUACGGGGCACACACCCAGCCAAACUUAAACAUUUAAUUAAUACUCUAAUGUUUUUACUCUAUUUAAAAUGCGUUUACACAGGCAGCUCAAGCCAUAUUUUUUUCACUAGUUGAUCUUGGGGGGGAGAGAGAGAUGGACACUUCAAGUAGUGUUACCCAACAUUCUAGCAAAACCAUUUGCAUGCUCAUUGUGAAGACAUUGAAAUAGAAUUGUAAAAUUGGAUCAUAAAGAACCUGUCAUUGUUCUCUAUAGCAAAUGUGUUUUGUUAUGCAGUCGAGUACCUGUGCCAUUUGUUUUGAAGUAAAGCUUGUAUAUUCCGAAAUAUCAAAGACAUUAACUAAUGCGUAUAACAACUUAAAGCCUGUGUAAAGGUGCAAUCUGCAGUUGCUACACAUUUCUUUGGGACUUAAA
Long non-coding RNA from Coregonus clupeaformis (lake whitefish), 1606 nucleotides. RefSeq lists it as uncharacterized. Lineage: Eukaryota; Metazoa; Chordata; Actinopteri; Salmoniformes; Salmonidae. The record is from RefSeq and is a predicted model, not a curated record. The transcript has 8 exons.